This 572-nucleotide ribosomal RNA is filed under the name Nectriaceae sp. O_2_BESC_883g. RNAcentral's name for it is "eukaryotic LSU rRNA". It matches the Rfam family "Eukaryotic large subunit ribosomal RNA", at positions 1 to 585 of the family's 3401-position model. Lineage: Eukaryota; Fungi; Ascomycota; Sordariomycetes; Hypocreales; Nectriaceae. The record is from RNAcentral.
ACCUCGGAUCAGGUAGGAAUACCCGCUGAACUUAAGCAUAUCAAUAAGCGGAGGAAAAGAAACCAACAGGGAUUGCCCUAGUAACGGCGAGUGAAGCGGCAACAGCUCAAAUUUGAAAUCUGGCCCUCGGGUCCGAAUUGUAAUUUGUAGAGGAUGCUUUUGGUGAGGUACCUUCCGAGUUCCCUGGAACGGGACGCCAUAGAGGGUGAGAGCCCCGUCUGGUUGGAUACCGAUCCUCUGUAAAGCUCCUUCGACGAGUCGAGUAGUUUGGGAAUGCUGCUCUAAAUGGGAGGUAUAUGUCUUCUAAAGCUAAAUAUUGGCCAGAGACCGAUAGCGCACAAGUAGAGUGAUCGAAAGAUGAAAAGCACUUUGAAAAGAGAGUUAAAAAGUACGUGAAAUUGUUGAAAGGGAAGCGCUCAUGACCAGACUUGGGCUUGGUUGNAUCAUCCAGGGUUCUCCCUGGUGCACUCUUCCAGCCCAGGCCAGCAUCAGUUCGCUGUGGGGGAUAAAGGCUUUGGGAAUGUGGCUCCUCCGGGAGUGUUAUAGCCCAUUGUGUAAUNCCCUGUGGUGGA